RNAcentral lists this ribosomal RNA (382 nucleotides) under uncultured bacterium. Its description in RNAcentral is "bacterial SSU rRNA". It matches the Rfam family "Bacterial small subunit ribosomal RNA", at positions 28 to 408 of the family's 1533-position model. The record is from RNAcentral.
GAUGAACGCUGGCGGCGUGCCUAACACAUGCAAGUCGAACGUGAGGGGAUAGCAAUAUCCCUGAAAGUGGCGAACGGGUGAGUAACACGUAGGUAACCUGCCGCGCAGAGGGGGAUAACGACUGGAAACGGUCGCUAACACCGCAUGGUACUAGAAAGGGGGACGUCUUUCUGGUUAAACCUUAGGUGCUGCGCGAGGGGCCGUGCGUCCGAUUAGUUAGUUGGUGAGGUAAUGGCUCACCAAGACGAUGAUCGGUAGCUGGUCUGAGAGGAUGAUCAGUCACACGGGAACUGAGACACGGUCCCCGACUCCGUACGGGGGGCAGCAGUGAGGAAUAUUGCACAAUGGACGCAAGUCUGAUGCAGCAACGCCGCGUGGAGGA